CGUAACCGGGCUGAAGUCGUACCGUAAGGAGCGGUGGACUGGUUACGAGUGAGAAUGUUGGCAUCAGUAGCGAGAUGUGGGUGAGAAUCCCACAGGCCGAAAACCUAAGGUUUCCUCAGGAAGGUUCGUCCGCUGAGGGUUAGUCGGGACCUAAGCCGAGGCCGAAAGGCGUAGGUGAUGGACAACUGGUUGAUAUUCCAGUACCACUACCAUCGUUAUUAUCGAUGGCGUGACGCAGGAGGAUAGUGUGUGCUAGCUAUUGGAUGCUAGUCUAAGCGUUUAGGCAGUGAGAGUAGGCAAAUCCGCUCUCAUAAUGCUGAGGCGUGAUG
This 329-nucleotide ribosomal RNA is filed under the name Salmonella enterica subsp. enterica serovar Typhimurium. RNAcentral describes it as "partial 23S ribosomal RNA". It matches the Rfam family "Bacterial large subunit ribosomal RNA", at positions 1240 to 1568 of the family's 2925-position model. The record is from RNAcentral. Lineage: Bacteria; Pseudomonadati; Pseudomonadota; Gammaproteobacteria; Enterobacterales; Enterobacteriaceae.